This 497-nucleotide ribosomal RNA is filed under the name uncultured bacterium. RNAcentral describes it as "partial 16S ribosomal RNA". It matches the Rfam family "Bacterial small subunit ribosomal RNA", at positions 28 to 507 of the family's 1533-position model. The record is from RNAcentral.
GAUGAACGCUGGCGGCGUGCCUAAUACGUGCAAGUCGAGCGAACGGACGAGAAGCUUGCUUCUCUGAUGUUAGCGGCGGACGGGUGAGUAACACGUGGAUAACCUACCUAUAAGACUGGGAUAAAUUCGGGAAACCGGAGCUAAUACCGGGUAAUAUUUUGAACCGCAUGGUUCAAAAGUGAAAGACGGUCUUGCUGUCACUUAUAGAUGGAUCCGCGCUGCAUUAGCUAGUUGGUAAGGUAACGGCUUACCAAGGCAACGAUGCAUAGCCGACCUGAGAGGGUGAUCGGCCACACGGUAACUGAGACACGCUCCAGACUCCUACGGGAGGCAGCAGUAGGGAAUCGUCCGCAAGGGGCGAAAGCCUGACGGAGCAACGCCGCGUGAGUGAUGAAGGUCUUCGGAUCGUAAAACUCUGUUAUUAGGGAAGAACAUAUGUGUAAGUAACUGUGCACAUCUUGACGGUACCUAAUCAGAAAGCCACGGCUAACUACGUG